GAUGAUGACCGGAAGUGAGCAUGAUGCUUGAGCACACCAGCACAAUCGAGACUCUGGACACCCAAAAAUCCAAAAUUAGUAGAACUUGAACUUGAAGUGUCAUUUACUACUUUCAUCCAGACAACAAGUUUUAAGAAAUUUCUGGUAAAACAAUAAUAUCUUCAAUAAUUGCGUGACUUGCACGAGAAUAUACCUCUUAAUUGUUAAAAAUGAUAAUUGUGUUUCAGACUUCUAACAUACGAAAAAAAAUCUGUAACCAAAAUCCUAUAACCCAACAAAAUUAGUUUGAAAGCCCAAACGAAAUUAGUAAACAGCCCAAACAUCAUACCACGCGUUGCGCUCAAUGUCAACU
RNAcentral lists this long non-coding RNA (352 nucleotides) under Brassica napus (rape). RNAcentral's name for it is "long non-coding RNA (BNAP_LNC019829)". The record is from RNAcentral. Lineage: Eukaryota; Viridiplantae; Streptophyta; Magnoliopsida; Brassicales; Brassicaceae.